Molecule: non-coding RNA, 135 nt
Organism: Triticum aestivum (bread wheat)
Lineage: Eukaryota; Viridiplantae; Streptophyta; Magnoliopsida; Poales; Poaceae
Source: Rfam
UAACUACUUCCUCCGUUCCGAAUUACUUGUUUUAGAUUUGUCUAGAUACAGAAGUAUGUAGCACUAAAAUAAGUCUAGAUACAUUCUUAUCUAGACAAAUUUAAGACAAAUAAUUCGGAACGAAGGGAGUACUAA